UACGGAGGGUGCGAGCGUUGUCCGGAAUCACUGGGCGUAAAGGGCGCGUAGGCGGCGCGGAAAGUCAACGGUGAAAGCUUGGGGCUCAACCCCGAGUCGGCCGUCGAUACUUCCGUGCUCGAGCACUGUAGAGGCAGGUGGAAUUCAUGGUGUAGCAGUGAAAUGCGUAGAUAUCAUGAGGAAUACCAGAGGCGAAGGCGGCUACCUGGACAAUUGCUGACGCUCAGGCACGAAAGCGUGGGGAGCAAACGGG
RNAcentral lists this ribosomal RNA (253 nucleotides) under uncultured bacterium. RNAcentral describes it as "partial 16S ribosomal RNA". It matches the Rfam family "Bacterial small subunit ribosomal RNA", at positions 524 to 776 of the family's 1533-position model. The record is from RNAcentral.